AUUGAACGCUGGCGGCAGGCUUAACACAUGCAAGUCGAGCGGGGUGAUGGUGCUUGCACUAUCACUUAGCGGCGGACGGGUGAGUAAUGCUUAGGAAUCUGCCUAUUAGUGGGGGACAACAUCUCGAAAGGGAUGCUAAUACCGCAUACGUCCUACGGGAGAAAGCAGGGGAUCACUUGUGACCUUGCGCUAAUAGAUGAGCCUAAGUCGGAUUAGCUAGUUGGUGGGGUAAAGGCCUACCAAGGCGACGAUCUGUAGCGGGUCUGAGAGGAUGAUACGCCACACUGGGACUGGAACACGGCCCAGACUCCUACGGGAGGCAGCAGUGGGGAAUAUUGGACAAGGGGGGGAACCCUGAUCCAGCCAUGCCGCGUGUGUGAAGAAGGCCUUAUGGUUGUAAAGCACUUUAAGCGAGGAGGAGGCUCUUUUGGUUAAUACCCAAGAUGAGUGGACGUUACUCGCAGAAUAAGCACCGGCUAACUCUGUGCCAGCCGCCGCCGUAA
This 503-nucleotide ribosomal RNA is filed under the name uncultured bacterium. Its description in RNAcentral is "partial 16S ribosomal RNA". It matches the Rfam family "Bacterial small subunit ribosomal RNA", at positions 30 to 523 of the family's 1533-position model. The record is from RNAcentral.